RNAcentral lists this transfer RNA (70 nucleotides) under Hordeum vulgare. RNAcentral describes it as "tRNA-OTHER". Lineage: Eukaryota; Viridiplantae; Streptophyta; Magnoliopsida; Poales; Poaceae. The record is from RNAcentral.
GGCAGUGGCAGAGUGGUAUGGCUCUGUUGUUGUGCACAGGAGCCCUGGGUUCGAAUCCCAGGCUGAACCU